This 468-nucleotide ribosomal RNA is filed under the name uncultured bacterium. RNAcentral's name for it is "partial 16S ribosomal RNA". It matches the Rfam family "Bacterial small subunit ribosomal RNA", at positions 28 to 507 of the family's 1533-position model. The record is from RNAcentral.
GACGAACGCUGGCGGCGUGCUUAACACAUGCAAGUCGAACGGAAAGGCCCAGCUUUUGUGGGGUGCUCGAGUGGCGAACGGGUGAGUAACACGUGAGUAACCUGCCCUUGACUUUGGGAUAACUUCAGGAAACUGGGGCUAAUACCGGAUAGGAGCUCCUGCUGCAUGGUGGGGGUUGGAAAGUUUCGGCGGUUGGGGAUGGACUCGCGGCUUAUCAGCUUGUUGGUGGGGUAGUGGCUUACCAAGGCUUUGACGGGUAGCCGGCCUGAGAGGGUGACCGGCCACAUUGGGACUGAGAUACGGCCCAGACUCCUACGGGAGGCAGCAGUGGGGAAUAUUGCACAAUGGGCGGAAGCCUGAUGCAGCAACGCCGCGUGCGGGAUGACGGCCUUCGGGUUGUAAUCCGCUUUCGCCUGUGACGAAGCGUGAGUGACGGUAAUGGGUAAAGAAGCACCGGCUAACUACGUG